Arachis ipaensis is the source of this 906-nucleotide non-coding RNA. The record is from RefSeq and is a predicted model, not a curated record. NCBI's taxonomy places the organism in Eukaryota, Viridiplantae, Streptophyta, Magnoliopsida, Fabales, Fabaceae.
UCUUCAUCUGGGUUUCAGAAACCCUCUCGUUGAAUCACGCCUCUGAAGAUUUUUAGUAUUCUUCAUCUUCUUCUCUCCUCUUCCUAUUGUCUCUCUCUCUCUCUCCCGCUAGAGCUCGAUCUCUCUCAUCUGUCUCACUUUGGCAUCGCACUCAAGAUCUCUCCCUAUCUCCUCUCUGGUCUCGCAAUCGAGGUCAUCGUCGCGUCAUAGAGCAUCGCCAUCUUGUGCGUUCUAGAGAGCGUUGCCUUCCUUCUGGUUCCAGAGAGCGUCGCCUUCCUCCUGGUUCCGUCUUCCUCGCCAUCUUCUUUGCCGUCUUCCUCAUUCUUCAUCACUGUCGUCAGCCUCUCCCUUCCAUGGGAAAUCAUGGCAUAGUGGACGCCAUUUUAUGGAACAUUAACAAAAGCGAAGAGAACUAAAUAGAGGAAAACACGGUCAUACAGAGAAAGUGAAGUGAAAAGAAAAAGAGAUAAAGAGAGAGAGGAAAGAAUGAGUGUUUCUUUGACUGUGAUGACCUUCAAACUGCAUGAUGAUCAAGCAGAAGAGGAGGAGGGACUUAUGUAUUAGUGUAAUCACAAGUUACUCUCCCAUCAUCCUUUGUACCCAGCAAGAUUAUCUUAAUCAAAGGCUUUGUGUGGAGAACAAGUUGGAACACUAGCUGACCAAACUAGAUCAAUAAGCUAACAUUUAAUUCAACCAAAUUCAGUUAUAUUAGUUAGCAAGCUGGUGCCGUUAAGUUGAGCACUAUGAUGGAUGCCUCGAGAAGAAAAUAUAAAAAAGACCAAACAGUUUCAGAGUACAUGGUGCAAUCAAUGGAAACUGUGUUUUGGAACUGAAAUCCCCAGUUCCAUAUCCCUAAGAUUUGAGAUGGUGUUGUAUUUAAGUAUGUAUUUCUGUAGGAAAAAAAAA